This 409-nucleotide long non-coding RNA is filed under the name Lactuca sativa (garden lettuce). RNAcentral's name for it is "long non-coding RNA (LSAT_LNC001178)". Lineage: Eukaryota; Viridiplantae; Streptophyta; Magnoliopsida; Asterales; Asteraceae. The record is from RNAcentral.
UCUCUUUCUCUCUUUACUCACGCUCUACGCUGCCGGAACCGCCACCGCCACCGCCACGUCCGCCACUCUCGACGUCGCGUCCUCUGUCCAGAAAACUCUCGACCUCCUGAACCCCACUUUACUCCAACAACAAUUAGAAAAAACCACACCUGAAUCGACAUCUUCUUCGUUGUCUUUCACCCUCCACCCUCGAUCCUCCAUCCACCAUACCCACCACCACCACCAUGAUUACGAAUCUCUAACCCUCUCAAGACUCGCUCGCGACACGCACCGAGUCACCUCGCUCACGACGAAGCUCAAUUUCGCACUCGCCGGAACCAAUAAGUCGGAGUUGAAACCGGUUGUUCAAACUGACUCGAUGUUGCAACCGGAGGAUUUCUCUACUCCGGUUUCCUCCGGGAUAUCUCAG